UGGCUUACCAUAUUAUGGUUCACUAAUUUCGAUGCUCGCACACAGAGCGCGCCAAAGAGUUAGUUAAAAUUUCAUAUCAACUGUGUUUAUGGAUUACCUUGUUUUUAUCUUUUAACUUUUGUGUGAUUAAAAGCAACAUACCAUUUACUUCAAUUUUAAUCUCAUUUUACAUCAAAAGAUUAGUUUAUAAAAUAGCUGCAAUUAUGUUUAAAUAUAUUUAUUCUGAACCCAGCUCAGUCCCUUAGGUAAUUGCAAAUUCACUGGAAGGAUUUGUCAUUCGCAUUAAAUAUCAAGCAAAGUGCAUUCCGUUUCCUGUGUUUACACAGACAAUGUUGAUACUUGCCGUUUCGUAGAACAGAGAGAAUGAUUGAGUUCGUUGGUUGCAAACAGGGUUUACGUACCUCUGUGCUAUUCAACCAAUGAGGAUUCAGUUGAUCGAUCUCUUGCCAUUCCUCGUUUAUCGAGAAUGUAAUUCAACGCAAAGACGUUCCUGUGGUCAUUGGUGAAAUUCGAUCGUAAUCUAAAGUCAAGAUCGGAGAGGAACACCGAUCUUGAAGCGAUCACGAAUCGGCAGCGUACCUUUAAUUGAUAACCCGAUUAAUUAUGCAUUCGGACUUUGAGCGCAACACCAGUUCGCCAGUUCAAACAAGGGUGGCAAGUCGUUCGGAAUGCGGCAUGCAAAGUGCCGGCAUUGCGUGCACGACGGCUGUGAGCUAACGUGGCUUUUGUUAAAAGCGCUUAAAUUUAUAAUGACCACGGUUAUCGAGCGUCACGAUCGAAAAGCACCGGUUCAAAUUUAAAGAUACGUUGCAAACGUCCGCUCAAUCUCGCGAAGCCUUAGCAACAACCUUCGACGUCAAGUUAAUGGAAUUACAAAACGACAUAACUUCCCGAGUAAUUAUUUCUUCGGUAAAAAUUUUUAUCAGCCACUUUCACGUGCAUUCCGAAUAAAGCGGUAUAACUUACUAGGAAGUAGACGGAACACGCUUUCUUUCUCCCGUUGCAAGCGAAAGAAAAAAGGAAUUAUAGCUCACGAAGGCCUAUAAACGCGAGGCGUAAGAAAAGCGACGAGCAACGAGGGGCUAGCAACUUUCAGCUCGUGAACGGGAAAGGUUCAGACCGUUAACGACACCCUGCGCGGCUUUAAAAACUAAUAUUUCCAUCAUUGUUAGUUUUUACGACGUGGCGAAUAACGUGGCCUCGUCUCGUUCGUUUAAACGAAGAAUUACAGUACACCGUUGGGCUCGUCUUUACUUAUUACCCUGCAAUUAAAGAAAAGACACACAAAGGUACAAUGUGAGACUGCAUGGUCGCGUGCAACAAGGUAUAAUUUAAUUUAACCUACAUCAGAAAAAUAAUACAUCACACUUUUUUAUACCCGUAGUUGAUGCAUUUAUUUGCCAGUGUUCGUUGCUCUUUCUCGUAACCCCAGCAGUCCUCGGCAGAGACGGCGGUGUAAGACUUGAAGCUUGAAGGUGAGAUCGUUAGCGCGAAGAGUGUGACUUGGCAUUGUGUCUCGGAGUACGUCUUAAGUGUUAGUUUAUUGUUACCCGCUAGCCGGUGGGCAGGUUGUUCUUCCAUAUUUAAGCUGGUCCAUUAGUGCUCACCGGUCGCGUUUAUGUUUCGGAAUGCUGUGUGUUUGUCCCUUGAAAUAGCGCUCUGCACAGUCGAUAUGUCUGCCUCGCACACGUUUUGACUUUACCCUUUGUCGAGAAACAAAUUCUUGGUAAUCUGUCACAAUUUCUUACUCUUAAAAAAUCAACUUGGAACAGUAAUGUUACUGUAACCACCAAAUAUGACUUGGCUUAUUAUCACAUAUACUGACAAUUGUCUGUAUCUAAUGUGUAGCUUUGUACGUAGAUUAAAGCAAGAUAAAUUGGAUCCUUAUCACGAAGUCAAUUGCAGAAACGUAGCCCGAAUCAGGGUCCUUAAGAGAAGGAAAAGGUAAUUUUACCGACCGAGGACACGCGGUAGGCGGACUCAUUAAACUUUUCGCCGUUUCAUCCUUCGAAGGAAUCGUGUCGAGAGCAACGGCUCCCGCGGGAAUACCGGUGUGGCACGAUUAUACCGACCGCCAUGAGAAUCAAGCAGAGGGAAGGAUUAUACGAAGAAGGGUUAAAAUACUCCUCUUUCCGUCGCGCUACAAGAAUUCGAAUGCUUCCAAGAAGGGUGACGACGAAUUGAAGAAUUCUUUUGUUCUUUUCGUGACGUUUUCCGUUGUUUUCGCUCGUCCAGCGGGUCUAAUCGGACGAAAUUAAUGUCUGGAUGUUGUUGGCAGAAGUUAGUCGAGACGCCAUCGGUAUACUGUUACAGAAACGGAAAGAGGAAAAAUGGCGAGCCGGUAGGGUGUGGAGUUAUAAGUUUCCAUGUUGGUAUAGCUUUUCUUGCUCGCUUGUCGCCCCGUGUUUCUUCGUUAAUGUAAUUGACUGCCGGUGAAAGCGUCGAUCUGGCAAGUAGUAGAUGAUACAUGAGACCCAGCAUGCUCGGUUUCCUCUGGCCGAUGUCGCGUCCAAGUUACUCGUCCGAUUUAUCGAAUCGACGGUAAGGCGAUACGAUAGACGUAUCGAAUUAUACGCGAGCCAGGAUGCAUUGAGUUCCAACCGCAGUCUUGAAUCGCUUAUUCUCUGAUUACUCGUUCCCCGCUGCGGUAGGCUGUGCUUCAUUUGCGGAUGAAAAAUUGUUUUUGUCCACGUCGCAUCGUUUGCUCUACACUCUAGUUUCGUUUUUCUUUAUCUGCACAGAAGCCUUAAGUUCUUAUUUGUCAUAUAAUCUGUACAAGUUUGGAAAAAUCUGCUCUGAAGGUUAACAAUCAGCAGACUGGUUACUUGUGAAUUUAGAGUAUAUAGAAGUUUGCGAAUUUGUAAGAUCAGUAUGAUGAUUUGUUUUCGCAGACAAUAUAUUAUAAACGGAUAAACAUGAUAGGAUAUUAGAUAUAAAAUUAUCUAAAAGUCCGUGCAAUUUGUUCGCACCUCGAAACGUCGAAUUUUAUGAGAAGCAUUAAUUCUCUAAAAAAAUUGUGAAAUGCAUCGCUGCUCGAAUAAAUCUGGCCGAUUUUUGUAUUAUAGAAACGAUAAGCCAGCAUGGAGAACGGUGGCCGUAAAAUUUUAAUCCCUAUACCACGGUGGUUGCACCAUCGGCAAACCCAGCCCUUGAGCAAGUUUAAUUCUUGUGGGUCCCAUCGGUGACUUUAUCGCAAGAAAUUGCCACGGUCCGGAAACCGUCGUUACAGCAUCGUUACCGUAAGAACUUACUGGCGAGCAUUGUUACGGCUAAUGUUACCGAACUUAGUUAACUUUCAGUUUUACCGCCGAUUCGGAUUAAGAAUUUAUGGUAACGACCGACUCUUCGGUUUAUUCUCCGCCAAUGGAAGAACACGGGAAAACGUUUUCGACAGACACUUUAAUCACGAUGGUACUCCUCGAUGUAUGUUACAUUCGAACGUGUUCUUGAAUUUUUCAGUUACCUGUUUAUUAACAGGAUC
This is a long non-coding RNA of Megachile rotundata (alfalfa leafcutting bee), 3481 nucleotides long. RefSeq lists it as uncharacterized. NCBI's taxonomy places the organism in Eukaryota, Metazoa, Arthropoda, Insecta, Hymenoptera, Megachilidae. The record is from RefSeq and is a predicted model, not a curated record.